UAUCCCCAGAAUGAGGGAGCACAUUGGUAUGAACACCAAACUAAUCAUGUUUCUUUUUGACUUUCAGAUCAAGGGUUGCCACUUAUCCCUUAGGUGAACUCUUUUACUAUACAAAAGCUCAUGCAAGUACCAGCAAAAGGAAAAUAUUGCAAUUCCCUUUUCUCUGUGUGGAAUUUAUAUGGAAAGAAGUUGUGGAGACAGGAAGAGUUUUUAGAAGGGACAGAACCACUUGAACAUAUAUUCCUUUACCUAAAUUAUGGUUGGGAACUCCUGGCAGCUGUUUGGAGUUUGCGGCUUGCAGUCUUUUUAGCAUCUAACUCAGCAGUUCAAAUCACAGCUGUGAGAUCAGGAAAUGGGAUCAAAGUGCAGUUCAGACUUCAUCUACACAGUGCCAAAGAAACAGAGACUUAACCUGAAUAGUGACAAAAAGAGCACACAUGUAAAAAAGAAAGAAACCAAUCCAGGGGCCGAGAUAACAUCUUCCUGGGAAAUUUUGGAUGAAGCAUUUUACCUCAAUAGGACAUUUUACUACUUAAUGGACCAAACCAACUUCCCAGUUUGGAAAGCCUCAACCAACUGAAUUUCUCUUCCCUA
Molecule: long non-coding RNA, 594 nt
Filed under: Monodelphis domestica (gray short-tailed opossum)
Lineage: Eukaryota; Metazoa; Chordata; Mammalia; Didelphimorphia; Didelphidae
Description: lncRNA (ENSMODG00000039596.1)
Source: RNAcentral